This 148-nucleotide non-coding RNA is filed under the name Chlorocebus sabaeus (green monkey). The record is from Rfam by way of RNAcentral. Lineage: Eukaryota; Metazoa; Chordata; Mammalia; Primates; Cercopithecidae.
GCCAGGUGUGGUGGCGCAUGCCUGUAAUCCCAGCUACUCAGGAGGCUGAGGCAGGAGAAUUGCUUGAGCCCAGGAGGCAGAGGCUGCAGUGAGCUGAGAUUGCACCACUGCAUUCCAGCCUGGGCAACAAAGCUAGACUCUGUUUCAA